Molecule: ribosomal RNA, 468 nt
Filed under: uncultured bacterium
Lineage: Bacteria
Description: partial 16S ribosomal RNA
Rfam family: Bacterial small subunit ribosomal RNA
Source: RNAcentral
GACGAACGCUGGCGGCGUGCUUAACACAUGCAAGUCGAACGGAAAGGCCCUGCUUUUGUGGGGUGCUCGAGUGGCGAACGGGUGAGUAACACGUGAGUAACCUGCCCUUGACUUUGGGAUAACUUCAGGAAACUGGGGCUAAUACCGGAUAGGAGCUCCUGCUGCAUGGUGGGGGUUGGAAAGUUUCGGCGGUUGGGGAUGGACUCGCGGCUUAUCAGCUUGUUGGUGGGGUAGUGGCUUACCAAGGCUUUGACGGGUAGCCGGCCUGAGAGGGUGACCGGGCACAAUGCGACUGCGAGACGGACCAGUCUGGUACGGGAGGCAGCGGUGGGGAAUCUUGCACAGUGGGCGGACGCCUGAGGCGGCAGCGCCGCGUGCGGGAUGACGGCCUUCGGGUUAUAAACCGCUUUCGCCUGUGACGAAGCGUGCGUGACGGUAAUGGGUAAAGAAGCACCGGCUAACUACGUG